AUGCUAGAGUUUCUGAACCUCUCUGUGACUGGACCUUUUGCAAGGUGACAUACAACACAAGAACACACAUAAACAAAAAACAAGUUGUGAAGAAGGUGACGUCCUGGUCAAGUGAUGAUGCAUAACUACACAAUGGAGAACAGCUUGAAAAUGACCAUAACGUUGAAGAGUGUUGGACUUGUAGUGUGGAAGAGCAACAACUUUGAGUGAUUUAUAGUACAUCCAGGAUUGCAUCCAUUUGUCCACCCCAGCGUGCAUUGCAUUCACAACAGUAAUUGCAUUCCUAUAUGCUUUGUGAGAAAUGGUGGGUGAGAAGAGGGGGGAGCCCCAGAUUAGAGCUCCCACAGAGGGAAAGGCUGUAGUGGAAACUCAAUGCUUGUGAUGAAGUGUGUUUCCUCCAGCUGAACUGCUGCAACACUUCACUGUAGUCUCAUGGCUGUGGUGACUAUGGGGAAAGUAGUCACAGUCUUGCCAUCUAGCCUUAAAGAUC
Molecule: long non-coding RNA, 490 nt
Filed under: Anser brachyrhynchus (Pink-footed goose)
Lineage: Eukaryota; Metazoa; Chordata; Aves; Anseriformes; Anatidae
Description: lncRNA (ENSABRG00000020385.1)
Source: RNAcentral